CCUGGCGGCCUUAGCGCGGUGGUCCCACCUGACCCCAUGCCGAACUCAGAAGUGAAACGCCGCAGCGCCGAUGGUAGUGUGGGGUCUCCCCAUGCGAGAGUAGGGAACUGCCAGGC
RNAcentral lists this ribosomal RNA (116 nucleotides) under Escherichia coli. The record is from RNAcentral. RNAcentral also lists the same sequence under 2 other names. Lineage: Bacteria; Pseudomonadati; Pseudomonadota; Gammaproteobacteria; Enterobacterales; Enterobacteriaceae.